Molecule: ribosomal RNA, 497 nt
Filed under: uncultured bacterium
Lineage: Bacteria
Description: partial 16S ribosomal RNA
Rfam family: Bacterial small subunit ribosomal RNA
Source: RNAcentral
GAUGAACGCUGGCGGCGUGCCUAAUACAUGCAAGUCGAGCGAACAGACGAGGAGCUCGCUCCUCUGACGUUAGCGGCGGACGGGUGAGUAACACGUGGAUAACCUACCUAUAAGACUGGGAUAACUUCGGGAAACCGGAGCUAAUACCGGAUAAUAUAUUGAACCGCAUGGUUCAAUAGUGAAAGACGGUUUUGCUGUCACUUAUAGAUGGAUCCGCGCCGCAUUAGCUAGUUGGUAAGGUAACGGCUUACCAAGGCAACGAUGCGUAGCCGACCUGAGAGGGUGGUAGGCGACACGGGAACGGGGACGCGGACCAGACUCCUACGAGAGGGAGCAGUAGGGAAUCCUCCGCAAUGGUCGAAAGCCUUACGCAGCGACGGCGCGUGAGUGAUGAAGGUCUUCGGAUCGUAAAACCCUGUUAUUAGGGAAGAACAAAUGUGUAAGUAACAAUGCACGUCUUGACGGUACCUAAUCAGAAAGCAACGGCUAACUACGUG